GACGAACGCUGGCGGCGUGCUUAACACAUGCAAGUCGAGCGGGGUCCGUCCAGUAGCAAUACUGGUGAAGACCUAGCGGCGAACGGGUGAGUAACACGUGAGCAACCUGCCCCGAAGUCUGGGAUAACACCGGGAAACCGGUGCUAAUACCGGAUGUCCUCACCGAGUCACCUGGCUUGAUGAGGAAAGAUUUAUCGCUUCGGGAGGGGCUCGCGGCCUAUCAGCUUGUGGCGGGGAACGGCCCACCAAGGCUUCGACGGGUAGCUGGUCUGAGAGGACGACCAGCCACA
Molecule: ribosomal RNA, 290 nt
Filed under: uncultured bacterium
Lineage: Bacteria
Description: partial 16S ribosomal RNA
Rfam family: Bacterial small subunit ribosomal RNA
Source: RNAcentral